Molecule: ribosomal RNA, 164 nt
Filed under: uncultured bacterium
Lineage: Bacteria
Description: partial 16S rRNA
Rfam family: Bacterial small subunit ribosomal RNA
Source: RNAcentral
UAGGGAAUCUUCCACAAUGGGCGAAAGCCUGAUGGAGCAACGCCGCGUGUGUGAUGAAGGGUUUCGGCUCGUAAAACACUGUUGUAAGAGAAGAAUGACAUUGAGAGUAACUGUUCAAUGUGUGACGGUAUCUUGCCAGAAAGGAACGGCUAAAUACGUGCCAA